RNAcentral lists this ribosomal RNA (484 nucleotides) under uncultured bacterium. RNAcentral describes it as "partial 16S ribosomal RNA". It matches the Rfam family "Bacterial small subunit ribosomal RNA", at positions 30 to 507 of the family's 1533-position model. The record is from RNAcentral.
AUUGAACGCUGGCGGCAUGCUUUACACAUGCAAGUCGAACGGCAGCGCGGGCUUCGUCCUGGCGGCGAGUUACGAACGGGUGAGUAAUUCAUCGGAACGUGCCCAGUAUUGGGGGAUAGCCCGGCUAAAGCCGGAUUAAUACCGCAUACGACCUUAUGGUGAAAGCGGGGGACCGAAAGGCCUCGCGCUAUUUGAGCUGCCGAUGUCGGAUUAGCUAGUUGGUGGGGUAAAGGCUUACCAAGGCGACGAUCCGUAGCUGGUCUGAGAGGACGACCAGCCACACUGGAACUGAGACACGGCCCAGACUCCUACGGGAGGCAGCAGUGGGGAAUUUUGGACAAUGGGGGCAACCCUGAUCCAGCCAUGCCGCGUGAGGGAAGAAGGCCUUCGGGUUGUAAACCGCUUUUGUUAGGGAAGAAAUUCUCUGGGCUAAUACCCCGGGGGGAUGACGGUACCGGAAGAAUAAGCACCGGCUAACUACGUG